Molecule: unclassified non-coding RNA, 203 nt
Filed under: Hevea brasiliensis (rubber tree)
Lineage: Eukaryota; Viridiplantae; Streptophyta; Magnoliopsida; Malpighiales; Euphorbiaceae
Source: RNAcentral
AAAAAAAAGAUCAAAGCAAAAUAACGAAGUCAUAAUUUUGUUAUUCAAGUUCAAUCCAACAUGGUUGAGCAUGAUUUUCAUCAACAAACUCAAAGUUUAGUUAAGUUGGUGGUACUUGUAUGUUUGUUAUUUCUAUCUGCUAGUAUUUCAGUUGAAGCGCGAAUUCGUCAUUAUCAAUGGGAAGAUUCAAUUGUUCUAUUCCG